UUUUUUUUUUUUUUGUGGUAGGAAGAGUGCAGCUGCCAUUCCUAUUUAGGCAAGUUGUUGGACAUCUUUUGACAUCUCAAAACCCUCCCUUGUUUUGUAAUCAAAGUCUGCUUAUAUAAUGGGCUGGGGUGGUGACGAUUAUUUGUGAGGGGCUGGCUGCCCUUGGGUCUAACAGGCCAAGUGUGAGUGGGCCGAAGCAGUGGGCACUCCUUUUGGGUUGAGAGGAAGAAGUCCAAAAGCAUAUUUGUAACUUAAAUGACUGUACUCCAUAAGUUUACAUAUAUGUAGCAACUUAUGAGUAAUACAUUGGUUCUAUUUGUUCA
Long non-coding RNA from Salvia hispanica, 323 nucleotides. RefSeq lists it as uncharacterized. The record is from RefSeq and is a predicted model, not a curated record. Lineage: Eukaryota; Viridiplantae; Streptophyta; Magnoliopsida; Lamiales; Lamiaceae.